CAGGCUUGGGCUGAGUCGUAACUGCAAGGAUUUAACACCCACAAAUACUAAUUUCAAGUUUGGUGUCUUGUUCAAAGAGCCUGUGCUCUGAGAACAAAUCGAUUUUGCACCUGUUUUUUUUCCACCUGUUUUAUGUCCUUCAAGAUACGAGUAUCACAUGUGCUAUUUUUAAAACGGAGGGCACAGCAGGAGAUACUACCACUUACCUAGCAAGCUGGCCACUACAGACACAAGGCCUGUUCCAGCUCCAAUUUCAAUAACAUUUUUGUCAACCAAGUUACAAAGCUUCACAUUUGUUUCCAAAAAAUAGCACAGAACAAGAGCCUGAAAAUGAAAAAGAACAAGAAUAAACUGACAAUUGGCAAUUCUGAAAAAGAAUAAUGAAACAAUGCCUUUCGCUCCACGAGGCCACCCUUUAAUUACUAUUAAGUAACCAAGAGGAGAAAGAAACUUCAGUUUAUAUGAGCAAAAGUAUCUCUUGACACAAAAAAGAAUGGAACUGUCUCCAUCCAUUAUCAUUCCAUCUAACUGAAUCAUGGGUAACAAAGCACACAUGAAUAACUUCCAGGAUCAAAUAUCUUUUCACCUUAAGCCAACUGCUAAUAAGGUGAUUAGGAAUCCCAUGGGACGUGAGUGGAGUACUGCAGGAAAGACAAGACUCCAUCCUGGUCAGCCAACUUGCUUGCUUCCUGUGCUAACUACAGAGGAUAGGUUCUUAGCCCAAAACUAAAUCAGAAAUUCAGCGGAAUGAUGAAGGGAAGUCCCCUCUGCAUUAACAAGAAGGAAG
This is a long non-coding RNA of Pantherophis guttatus, 787 nucleotides long. RefSeq lists it as uncharacterized. The record is from RefSeq and is a predicted model, not a curated record. Lineage: Eukaryota; Metazoa; Chordata; Lepidosauria; Squamata; Colubridae.